Molecule: long non-coding RNA, 302 nt
Filed under: Glycine max (soybean)
Lineage: Eukaryota; Viridiplantae; Streptophyta; Magnoliopsida; Fabales; Fabaceae
Description: long non-coding RNA (GMAX_LNC000377)
Source: RNAcentral
UUCUUUCUCACUUGAUUUUCGUGGGUAUGGGGCUUUGGGAGAUAUGAUGGGCAGUUUUGCUUGGUUAAUGCUUUGUGAUAGUUAUUUGUGAAGAGAUUUGACGAAAGCAUGCUAAACUUGUUAUGUUUGGAUGAGUUAAGCUUACCCAUUCAGUUUUAGGGUUUUUAUGAUGAUGCUUUUGAUGUUGGUGUGCUGAAAUUGCUUAUGGAAAACUGCUAGGGAUGAAGGGUAGAGUUAACCUAGGGUUAGAAAGUGAGAAUAUGGUGUUAUGAGUGGAAAAAGAGUGAGUUUUUGAGAGUUGG